GGAUGGGGAUAGAUUAUUGCAAUUAUUAAUCUUCAACGAGGAAUGCCUAGUAAGCGCGAGUCAUCAGCUCGCGUUGAUUACGUCCCUGCCCUUUGUACACACCGCCCGUCGCUCCUACCGAUUGGGUGUGCUGGUGAAGCGUUCGGAUUGGCGUUAGUGGGCGGUUUUCCGCCUCCUCUCGCUGAGAAGUUCGUUAAACCCUCCCACCUAGAGGAAGGAGAAGUCGUAACAAGGUUUCCGUAGGUGAACCUGCGGAAGGAUCAUUG
Molecule: ribosomal RNA, 266 nt
Filed under: uncultured Trebouxia photobiont
Lineage: Eukaryota; Viridiplantae; Chlorophyta; Trebouxiophyceae; Trebouxiales; Trebouxiaceae
Description: partial 18S ribosomal RNA
Rfam family: Eukaryotic small subunit ribosomal RNA
Source: RNAcentral